CCAAUAGCGUAUAUUAAAGUUGUUGCAGUUAAAAAGCUCGUAGUUGAAUUUCGGGAUCAACACGUCGGUCGUGCCUCCGGUAUGUACUGGCGUCGUUGAUUUCUCCCUUCUGGUGAACCACGAUGUCAUUAAUUUGGUGUUGCGGGGAGCCAGGACUGUUACUUUGAAAAAAUUAGAGUGUUUAAAGCAGGCAAACGCUUGAAUACAUUAGCAUGGAAUAAUGAAAUAGGACGUUGUACCUAUUUUGUUGGUUUCUAGGAUCAACGUAAUGAUUAAUAGGGAUAGUUGGGGGCAUUAGUAUUCAAUUGUCAGAGGUGAAAUUCUUGGAUUUAUUGAAGACUAACUCCUGCGAAAGCAUUUGCCAAGGAUGUUUUCAUUAAUCAAGAACGAAAGUUAGGGGAUCGAAGACGAUCAGAUACCGUCGUAGUCUUAACCAUAAACUAUGCCGACUAGGGAUCGGAUGAAGUUAAUUUUUUAAUGACUCAUUCGGCGCCUUACG
Molecule: ribosomal RNA, 499 nt
Filed under: uncultured Glomeromycotina
Lineage: Eukaryota; Fungi; Glomeromycota
Description: partial small subunit ribosomal RNA
Rfam family: Eukaryotic small subunit ribosomal RNA
Source: RNAcentral